ACCCCAACUCACUCCUUUUUCGACAAGUCAAGGCAAAAUACCUAUCACAACACCGACAUCUAAUCAAAUGGGCUAAGUGGGUCAGGUGCACAGUUCACGGGCGACGCCCAGCCUUGAAUUGGGGACAUCGUAGAGGAGCCUGUGGUUCUGCUGCUGCAAGUUGGCAAUGACGUUCAGCACCGAGUUCACGUUGUCAGGGGCGGCUGCCAUGGCCAGGCAGGUCGUGCUGCCGGCGGUGCUGUGAAUCAGCAGGUUAUCCGGUGGCAGCGUCACGUUCAUGCCCGUGAACAUGAAGGUUAUCGUGGGCGCUGCUAUGGGCACCGUGUAGCAUGUGUCGAAUCCCCCCAGUGACGUUACUGUCAAGUUCCUCCCCACCCUGUUUCUGAACGCGUCUCUCACUGCUAUGUACGCCGGCGUUACGAGCCUCGUGAACACCGUCCCUGGUUCACAACCCUCUUUGUAAUUAUACUUCCAUUCGUUUACAAAACUAAAUCAUUCCUUAAUUCCCUUUCUUCAGUUAUAAUUCAAAAUUUUCAAUUUUAAAUGAAAAUGAUAAGUUCACUAUAGUUAAUUUCUUCGAAUUGUUUUCCGACGGAUAUCACAAAAUAUCAUAUUUAUCGACCGAUAUUAUAUCCGAAAAAGCAAUUCGAUAAAUCUAACUAAAGUACUCGGCAUUACUCACUAUUAAAAUAAAAUGUUUAAAUUUUAAACCAUUAAUUAUGUUAAUUUUUUUUAUCACUUCAUGUGAUAGGUGAUUGUUAAAGGUCUUUUAAUGAUUACCUAUCACAUCAAUGAGAUAUAGAAUAUGAUAAAGUAUGGCAAUAAUGUUAAUAAGUAUUAACAUUAAUACCUAUAUUGUAUAUGCAGUAGUGUUUACAAUUUUUUUAAGUAUGGAGGAAAAUUAACUAGAGAAAUAAAGAUUUUGUGAAUAGAAAAGGUUACCGGAGUCAAAGAUGGUGCCGGCACCGGUGGAGGGGUUGAAGGUGAAGGAGCCUGGAGGGACGUCCACAACUCUCCGGCCGACCCUAACUGCCAUAAGGUUGACAAAGUAAAGUGAUGGUCUUCUAGGGUUCUUGAGCAAUGGGGUGUACUUGAUCCUCUUGGGCUGCCCAACUGGGCCCAACCUCAGCGACCCAGAGAAGUUGAGGGACUUGAAGCUAGGCAAGCAGUAGGAGAAUGUGGAUUGGUAUAGGUUUUGGGUCUGGGACAGCAACGACAAGGGGCCUCGGCCCAGGCCCAGGAGGCCCUGCGCCGGUAGGGAUCCGCCGGUGGCCUUUUGUAUGCAACCGAAGCUGUAGCCGGGGACUGCAUCGGUGGCUAGGGUGAUGGUGUCCUGUGAGAGGUUGGCUGCUAAGGAGGAGCCACCAUAGGUGAGGUUGAAUGAGCACACCCCCCCACCGCAUGUGGGUUUUGGCACCUGAAAUUACGCGAAGAUCAUAGAAGUUAAAAAGUCUUUUUUUAUAUAAAGGCCCUGGUGACAUGUCAAGAAAAAAACAAAGGAAACAACACUCGGAGAUGUGAGUAAUGGUGAGAGUAAAUGCAGUACCUGCUUACACUGAGCAGCUUGGCAGCCAAGGGACUUGUAGGUAGUAGAGGCAGGAGAGUUAAAGAGAGUGGAGGAGCAGCCCAGACAGCCAUUGCAAGGAAUCCAAGCAACAUCACUGCUGGUGUCCAUGGCCAUGAGCAUGGUUUGAGCAGGAGUUCCAAUCUUAGCCCUCACAAUAUAAGUUGGGUUCUGGACGAUCUGCCUGCCUGAAGCAAUAGGCACUACAGAUUUGCGGGCGACAAGGCUAGAUAAAAACUGGAGCCUGGCCUUGUCCUUGGCCUGCAUUUGGAGCACACUCUCCUCCCAGGACAGUGGCUCUUUUGGCCUGAAUGGAGAGCAAGGGCUGUAGACAUGGAGGACUUGGAGGGUGGAGCCUUGGUCAGGGGUCUCACAGUUGGGCUGGGUGAGUCCAAGUGCCAGGGAGAGGAAGAGGAGGGUAAGGCAGAGUAGAGGAAACAGAGAAGGGAAAGAGAGCCUCAUGGCUGGGGAGUUUGAUGGUCUGAAUGUGGGGGAGAGGGAGAGAGAGAGUUGAUAUUUAUAUAUAUGGCUGAUAUAGUAUUAUUGUGGGUAGUGGGGUGGAAUGUAGCUAGUGAGACCAUGAGUGGGUGUAUUAUGGCUUGAUAACAGACUGUAUUCCAUUUGCUUUUCCCCUGUAUGGGCCUCUUCCAUCCAAUCCACAUGUCAUUUUUAUUUUUACUUUUGUAAAUUAAUUUAUGUCACAUUGGCAGAGGCAGAGUGUGAUCUUCUUGGCACUUGGCUUGUCAAGAAAGUGACUUAUAAAGGACAAUAAUGCCAUUUCCCCCCCCCCCCCCCCCCCCCCCAAGGGGGGAAAAACCAAAAUUCAGGUAAACCCCCCCCCACCAUUUCAGAAUUGGUUUUUUUAAAAAGUUUUNNNNNNNNNNNNNNNNNNNNNNNNNNNNNNNNNNNNNNNNNNNNNNNNNNNNNNNNNNNNNNNNNNNNNNNNNNNNNNNNNNNNNNNNNNNNNNNNNNNNAAAGGAGCCCCUUUUGGGGGGGGUUUUUUUUUUUUAAAAGGGGGGGGGGGGGGAAGAAGGAGGUUUUUUUUUUUAUUUGGGGGUAAAUUUUUUUUUUGGGGGGGGGGGGGGGGAAAUUCUGUUGGGAGCCCCCGGGGGGGGUUUUUUUGGGUUUUAAACAACAUUUUUUUCUUUUUUUUUUCCCCGUAUGGGGGCUUUUCCCCCCAACCCCCUAUGUUUUUUUUUUUUUUUUUUUUAAAAAAUAUUUUGUCCCCACUGGGGGGGGGGGGGGGGUUUUUUUUUGGCCCUUGGUUUUUAAAAAAAGUCUUUUUAAAAGGAAAAAAUUCCCUUUUCCCCCCCCCCCCCCCCCCCCCCAAAUGGUGGUAUAAACUAAAUUCAAGUUAACAUCCUCUCUAUGAUCAUGAAAUGGAUUUUAUGAUAUAGUUUUUAAAUGACAUGACAAGAUAAAAUGUUCUUGUUCUUGUGAUGGGGUAGGCACAAUUCAUCAGCGCAAAUCAUGGGGGGUGGGAGCCAAUAUGUUGGACAUGUUCCUAAUAACCCAAUAAUAAAUGAACAUUUUCCCAUAACGUAUUUCUACUCUACUUUUAGAUUUACAUGAAAAGUUGCUUUUUUUUUUUUCUUUUUUCCAAAAGUUCAUCUUCAAAAUUACAGUCCACUUAAAAUAAAGAGAAAAGAAAAGGUAUACGGAAAAUGUAUGUAGCUUUUCCUUCUUCCUUUUCUUUUAUUGACAUUGCAAUUCAAUGAUCAAAUUAUUGCAUGGUUCAUCCUAGCAUGACAUUCAAUUCUUAAAGGUGAUAUAAAAUACGAGAGAAACAAAAUAGAAAAAAGAAGUAAAAGAAAAAAAAAAAGAUUUAAAGGUAAUAAAUUAUUUUUAUAUAUUAUUUUAAAAUUUUUCACUUAUUUAACUUUUCUAUAUAAAUAUUAAAUAAUUAAAAAUAUACAAAUUCCUUAAUAAUAAAAUCAAAUAGAAAAAAAUUAUUUUUCUUUUCGAGAACCAAAUAUACUCAAAAGGUUGAGAUGUUAAGAUUUGUGCUUAUACCAUACCAUAGGCUUGUUAUAUUUCUUUUCGGUUUUGCUUGUGACGUGAAUAAAAUGAAGUCAACAAACAUAAGAACGUGGUGAGAAAGACUCUUGACAUUACAUUGACAACAAUUUUAUUUUUUUUAAUCUAAAUUAUUACUAUUCAUAUUUAGAAUAUAAAAUUGACAAAAUCACUUCCAAACAGGUAUAUUAGAAAUUUACUUAAAAUUACUUUCAAACAAGCCUAACUAGGUGAAAAGGGAAUUUGUCCUUAGUAUUCGACCUUUAUUUUCAUCAUCGAUAGAACCAGGAAUAUAAGACAAGAGGGCAAAAUAGAAAAAAUUAGUUUCAGGGGGAUAAUGUCGCAUAAAAAAUAUGUUUAACUUAAUCAUUAAACCUUCUUUCUCUUUAGCUUAGUGGAAAUUUAGUUUUUCAAGAAGACCCUUCCCGACGUAUGUAGACUAAAGAAUAACGUUAAAAAUAAAAAUAAAAAAUUACUAUCAAAAUCGAAAGAGAUGGACAUGAUCCGGCUUUGGUGCGUACAAUAAUGAAAGAUGAUAUGAGAUUCUACUAAAAGGUAAAAGAAAGGGUUGUUGUGAGUAACACAUAUGGCAUACCCCACAAGUUAAGGGUAAAAGGCUUAAAGUAGAGGCCUUGAUACGGCCGCAUCGAGUCAAUUUUUUGAAAAAUGCAACCGUUGAUGGACCCACCAAAAACACCAAGACAAAAUGCUUGAAAUCAUUCAUCCAAAUUCCUCACAGUGCUACUAUGUAUAUGAUAUCUCACACGUACACUUUCUCUAGUAAAACCCGCCAUCAAAGGAUCAACUGAAAUUCCAAACCAAUAAAUUAUUCAUCAUCAAAUAAGCUUGGGGCAAAAUGCCACAAGAAAUGAUGAAGAAUAGUCUUUUCCCUGACCAUGUUCAUUUUCUUUAUCUUGGUGGGGGUGUGGGAUGCUUUCAUUGGGAACUUAACCCAAUUGUCACCGUGUACACGUACCUAAAUAUUUGGUUAACUCAACGUAAAAGUUAAAAGCCCAAUUAUUGUUUUUUAAAAUAGUUGAAAAAAUAGUUUUUGAAAAUAAUUUGUGAUAACCGUUAUAAUGUUUUGUAAAAUAAAAUUUUAAAAUAUUUUUAAUUUAUUUUAAUACUUUUAAAAAUAAUAUUACUUUAUUUUCAAUUAUUUUUUUAUAUUAGUAUAAUUAUUUUUUAAAAUAAUCAUUUAAAAGAUGUUAUCUGAAAAUACUAUAUUUUUUAUUUUAUGAUUGUAAAAUAUGUUUUUUAUUUUAUAUUUUCUUAAAUAAGAGUAAAUAAUUUUUUUUUAAUUAUCAAAUAUGACUUGAGACUUAUUUGUGAACAUUUUCAAAAAUAGUUUUUGAAGGAUAAUUUUUUAAAAAUAGUUGUUUUGUUUUCUAAAAUAAAAUAUAUUUAGAAACCUCAAAUGCUCUUAGCAUAUUUUCUUUGUUUUUAAAUAUUUUUUAAAAGUAAUUUUUAUUUAUUUUUUAUUGUUUUCAUAUUAAUGUAAUUAUUAUUUUUUAAAUAAAUCCUAAAAAAUAGGUGAAAACAAUUAAAACGGUUAACAAAAAUUAUCAAAUUUGUUUUUGAGUCAUAAAAACAAUUUUAUGUUUUUUUUUUUUAAUAUGAAAAACAGUCACACAAGAGGUUGUAACAAUCUUAAGGAUAUUUUAAGUGGUGAGUGGAAUCACUCAUUAAGCUCAACUCAAAGAUUUGUUCAAAAUCCCACUAGAUCAAGAUAUAAUUAAUGGAUGUGUCCAUGGGAUACCUGUCAAUAAAGUCCUAGCUAGGGAGCAUUAUUCAACACAAAUAAAUGGAUAAAUGUGAAGAGAACAGAAGUAGCAUCAUGGGCUAUUAAGGAGCAAUGGAGCAUUAUAUAAUAUGAUAGUGACUUGAGGCAGUGAUUAUUUUAAUUCAUAGUAAGAUCUUGAUCUGAUAGUAUAUUUAAAUAAAAAUAAAUGGAGGAGGAGACAUAAAGGGGCAGGAGAGAGAAAGGGAGAUUCCCUUUAUGGGGUGUUUGGGUGAUGGGUUUUGUCUCUUUCUUCCCAUCCAUACUCUAGUGAUGAGUGAUGAGGAGGGAAAAGGAGCAAAACAAACAGCUCCAUAGUGCAGUCAAGCUCAGCUGUGUGGUAGAAUCAAGCUCACCCCUGCUUGUUUUGUCCAUUUCCCUCAUUCACAGGAUACUGCAGCCGACUGAUGAAGCUAUUUGUGGUUUGUCCACCUGUGAAAUGGGACAGCCAACUGUUUUCUGUCAUGCCCACCAGUCCUUACCCUAUUCUUUCACACCUAAAACUGGUUGGAAUCACGUUCCCCUUCAACUUUGGAAUCCUUUUAACCUUGAAAUGAUUAGGACCUAGCCUUGCUUAUAGGGUAGAUUGGAAUUGAUGUAACUUCAAUUUUGCCUUAUGGGUUUUGAGUUGUACUAAUAUCUAUUGGAUAAAAGAUUCACAUGAUAUAAAUAAAUAAAAUUAAAAUAUAAAUAAUAAGACUUUAAAAUACAUAUACAAUAUUAUCUGAUCAAUGAUAUCUUUUUUAUAAAUAUCGAAAAAAUAUAAACCCGAUUUUGUAAUGGGAAUGAAAAGUUACUAAAAAAAAAUGAGAGAAAGAAGCUCAAGUAAGGAAUCAAAUCCAAUAGGACAAAAAUGGUUGCACAUGAUCCAAUUUUGCAAUAUGAAUUCAUUAUCAUAUCACUACCUUAUUAUUGUAUGCUCCACUUCUAGAUGCCUACACUCUUGCAUGUUAUAAAAAUCAUCACCUAAAAGUAGAGUAAAUACAAAUGAAGACAGACGGAACCCCAUUUGAUUGGUCUCUCAAUUAUGGGUUCUGCAUACAAUUUGUUCACAAGUUUAUUUAGAGGGUUGGGUUUCUUCUUCUCACAUGAGUUUAGAUUCCCAAGAGAUAUAUAAAGUCUACAGCUGCCAUAUUUUGUUUUGGAUUUGAAGCUUUGGAUACCCAAAUCCUCAGAAAAGAGAAGGGAAAGUCAUGGAGUUAGAAGAGGCAUGUUCCCAUCUGGGACUGACUGGAUAAAUGGCUGGACAAGAGCCAUGGUAACACGUGACCCCCAUUAAUUAUUUCAAUAUAUUAAUGGGCAAUGGCAGCCAAAUAGUUACAGGAAAGUCUUUUUCCUCCUUCUCUAAUGGGCUAGGAGAGAUCAAUUUUUGGAAUGCUUUAAUGACUUGUAGGAAACUAAGGUUUUAUUGAGAGAAAAAGAAUCAGGGGAUUGUCUCCAUUUUCAUUAGUGUCUUCACUUUACACCCACAUAUUCAACUAAGUCUCAUUUUGAUUCCAAAAUGGUGGCAUGCUCUUGAGAUAAAUUAUAAUAAAAAAGGUAGUGGGCAUUGAAGUAGAAGAAAUUGGUCACAAGUGAGGUAGGUAAAGGUGACUAAGGAUGGGAUCUUAAAUGGUCCACACACUAUUAGGAAUUAGACAAAAUACAUACUUUACACCGAUUCAUCAUUAGACAAGUUUGGCCACAUGGAAUCUUCUAGUGCCGUGAUCCGAAUAUGCGCGCAUUUGGGUUCCUUUCACAUAAUUCCUAAUCAUUUUUCUUGUUUGAAAUCAUUUUCAGUUACCAAUCAUAUGUCUAUUGUCUAUAUGAUUAAAAGAAACUCAUAAUAUAAUUGCAAAAACUUUUUAUCCUAUCCGAUAUAAAAUAUUACAAUUAAUUCUCAAGUAAAUAUAAUAUUUUUAUCAUAUCCCAUGAAAUUGCGAGGUUAUUGUAUCAAAUAGAUAGACAUUCCUCAUUAAACCAAACAAACUCUCAUAUUAGGAUUAGAGAUCAGUUCUGAUGUUAUUUAUAAUAAUCAAUUUUUAAUUUUAUAGAUAUUAUCCGUUUUAUGUCCGAUGAGAAAUAUCACAAUUACUUCAUUUUUUUUUUCUUUUAAUUUAAGUGGGAAUGUAGUAUUAGGAUCAAGAUUUAGCCAUGUCUCCUGAAAAUCAAUUGACUAUCAAUAAGGCCAAAGUAAUCCUUUUUAUGUGUUUGGAUAUCCAUUAGGUGUACAAAAUGGGAUUUGACCUAUCCCACACAGCACACAAACUCGAUUCAUAGCAAAUACUUAUCUGAAAUGUCAUUUCUUAAUAGCCAUUUUUGCGGGCUAGAAGACAUGUAGGUGAUAGCUAUGAGACAUAUUUUAUGAUAGCAGUGAAUGAAAAUGGGCACAAUUGUAGGGGUACUCUUGAGGUUGAGGCAAACUUCCAAGAAAAUAGGUGAAGAAUCUGGGAGGGAGUAAAUGUGUAGUGUGGAGUAAACACAACGAGAUAAAAGAGUACGACACAAGAUAUGAAAAUUGGGAGAAGAAGAGGGGUGGGGUAUAGUGAGAGAGGUUAGAAUGGCAGGCCCAUAAGCAGGGAAGGUGACACAGAAAGGAAAGGGAAAGAGAUGUGGCAGCAGCACCAACCCUUUGCAGGCUUUAUUCAAACUUAGGGUUGCAUGGCCGCUUCUUUAUGGCCGACAACACAUCACCCCUCCACCCCAUUUUCAACUUAAGGUGGUCCUAGGAAUUCUCUUCCCCCUCCCCCACGCAAUAAAAUGAAAACCCCAAAUUAUAAGACUUUCUGAUUUUGGUCAUUUUCCCAUACAUUAUGAAAUGCAUGAAAGAAUGAAAUCAAAAUUAUAAUAACACUUAAUUUUAGUUUACAUCCCAUGUUUUAGCAUGCUUGAUAAAAAUAAACCAAAUAUGACAUUUUUUGGGGUUUUUUUACAAUUUUUAAGAAAAAUGUUUUAAAACCCGUCUUAUUUGGUAUAAAACUAAAUUGGAUCUGAAUUCAUCUUUUGAUAAGAUGGUUUAAUGUAAAUAUAAAACAAUUAGCAAAUAGUGGUAUCCAAUGUGGUUACAAGUGUUAUUUAUUUAUUUAUUUAUUUUGUUGAAAUAACCUUUUUUUAAAUAAUAGUUUAAAAAAAAAAAUACAAAAAGUUUGCUGGUGGAUUGGGUGUACUAGAAGCAGCCAUGCCCCCACAAAACCACUAACUAGAAUGAUAUUUUUCCACAAGGGACCACCCUGCUGCAGAAGUUGCUUUUGGCCUUCUUGUUCAAUGUAUUGACCACCGCAGCUUAAUGGGCCUGAUAUGGGCUCAUGUCUUGGGCCCACCAGGAUAUAUGCCCAUGUGCAUCAACUCAACUUGAAGAUAAUCAUCAAACUACUACAUUUUCUUUGUGAUUUUAGCAUUGAUUACAAUCCAUUCUAAUUGUGAUCUUCUUGGGCAGAAAUUAAACGUUGGCAUUAGAUUUGAUUCAUUAUGAUUUUGUUCUCUAGCAUUAGCUUUUUGUGAUUUAGCUUUUUGUGAAACUCAUAUAGGCCCAUGUUGAUUUAAAAUUGAUGCUCCCCAAAUGAUCAUUUAUAUGAAUAAUGUUGUCAUGUAAAAUGAAAUUUUCUUUUAUUGAAAAGAUAGCAGAAUUUAGCAUAAUUUGGGAAAAUCUCCCUUUCUCUUUUUCCUGUUAUUGGAGUUGGGUUUGGAUGUUUAAGUGGGUUGACCCAACCCGACCCAAUAAACAAGAAAAUAAGGGAGCUUUUUAUCAGAAACCGUCGGUAUUAAGAAUUUUUUUAAUUAGAAAAAAAGAAUACAUUUUCUCCUUUAAAUUACAAAAUAAAAGAAAGAAUACAAUUCUUCUUUACGAAGAAACAAAAAAAUUCUCUUGAAUUUAUUUUUUCUCCAUAAAAAAUAAAAGUCAAAACUCUUGUGCUGUGAAAAAAAAUAAUUCUCGUAUUUGUGGUUCCAUUUACAACUUGAAAAAAUAAAAUUAAUUACUGAAACAAUCAAAAUGUUCUAACAUUUUAGAAGAAAACCUGAAAGCUUUAUUUUACAUCACCUAUCAAUAAUGAAAAAACAAUACAAUUCCAAGGGAAAGUGGAGGAAAAUGGUGUGGAUGGCCAUCAACCAUGACAUUAAAUGAAUUGAAGGAGACCCAUGGGAAAAUGAAACUCUUUUUCAUGAAAGAGACUUAAGGUGAAAUUUGGGUCACGUUUGGUUGAAUUUAAUCUGAGGUCCCCUUACUUGCCAGUACCAUGUGGAAUUUAAACUGACUGCCACAAAAAGGACUACCAUGUGGAACUGAGGGAGAGAUGAUUUUUUUUGGUGAGAGAUGUCAUUUUGCCAGUGCUUUUUGACUGUUGCUCCAUUGGGCUAUCAUGGAUUACAUUCCAGUAACUACAUCCCACCAAGAUGCUGGCUUAAUUUUUGUUAGGGUUAAUUUCAUUUAUCUCCCUUUAAAUUUUGGUUAAAUAUACUUAACUCUUGUCGGUUUAAAAUUUUAUCAAAUACCUCCCCUAUCAUUUUCAUAUGAUAUUUUUGUUUAUCUCUUAUCUAAUUCAAAAUAAAAAAGGUAUUUGACAAAUUUUCAAACCGAUGAAAGUUAGUUAUAUUUAGCUAAAACUUCAAAGGAGGUAAAUAAAAUUAACAUUUUUUUUUUUGUUAAUUUUAGGCUUUCAUAUAAUUAUGGGAACCGGGACAUGUUUGGGAGUGAUUAUGAGUAAAUCAUAUUUAGUUUGUAGUGAUAAAUAAAAUCAUUUAAUGUUUGGAUAUAAACAAAAGAAAAAAAAAAUAUUUUAAUACUAUUUCUGGUAUUGUAUUAUAAAAAAAAAAAUGAUUUUUUUGGAAGAAUUUCUUAUAGGGAAAGCGGGUUUUCAUACGUCCAAAUGAAAAAAAAAAUCACAAAAUAGAAACCUUAAUUUAUAAAAUACAAAUUUCAAGCAACCAUUUAAAAAUAAUUGGCAUUUCAUGCACUUAGUACCUUUGAUCAUUCAAGUUAUGUCUUUUAAUAAUACAUGUACUAUUUUUGAAUACUGAUAAAUAUAUGAAACUUGAAUUAUUUUUAAAAGUUUCUAUUUUGUGAUUAUUUUUAUAUGGAUGUAUGAAAACACAUUUUUUUCCACUUCUUAUUAAGUGAUUGUCUGAAAAUCAAUUUCCAAUGAUGUUUUAUAUCUUUUAAAAUAAUUUUUUAAAAUUUUCAAAUACCUAAUUUUUAAGAGAAAAUAUUUUCAAACAUUAAAAUGCAUUUCUAAUCUUUUUCAAAAUCAUUCUCAAAUAGGUUGUAACUUUAGAAUUCAAGUCGAAAUAUCUUAUAUUUGAAACUUUUGCUUUUGUAAACCAUUGUAUUAUUAAAUAUUCAUAUUUGAAACUUUUACUAGAACCAAAUAGAAUUACAAGCCACAUAAUUUUUUGGAAGGCCAUCAUUUCAAUUUAGUAUGUUAACUAGUAGUGGAUGCUUAUGACUCACUUAGUAAAAAAAAAAAAGUAUGCAUUAAAAAAAAAGUGAUAAGACAAAUAUCAUCAUGUGAUAUCUCAACUUUGGAUUCCAAUUUUCCAUCUCACAAAUAUUUUCACAUACAUCACGUGAUAUCUCAACUUUGGAUUCCAAUUUUCCAUCUCACAAGUAUUGUCUUUCAUGUGAUAUCACAACCUUGGAUUCCAUGUUACUCUCAACAAGUUUCCUUAAAAAAAAAAAAAUAGUAAGUUUCAAGUUCAAGUACUCUUUUAGGCACACACACCAAAGAAAUAAAAAAUAAAAAUAAAAAGUAUCUUUUUAGAAUAGUUCUAUUUAGUACCAUUUUCAAAAAUUUAAAUAAUUUUUCAUAAAUAAAUUGUGCAAAUUGCUAUCAUCCUUUUAAAAGUAUUCAACAAAAGCAUCCUUCAUUUUUCACAUUUUCCUAUGAUAUCCUCUAUUUUUUAAAAAUUGAUCUCACAACCCUUAAAUAAUUAACUUACCAAAACAACUAUUUUCACCUAUUUUGUCAUUUAUAGACCAUUUACUUUGCUAAAUAUACACAUUUUUAUAUUUUUAUUUUUAACCAAUAACAAAUUAUAAAAUUUUCAAAAUUUUAAAUGAAUAUUAAAAUCAUAUUAUUUAUUCAAAAUAUAAAUAAUAACAUUUUAGAAAAAAAAAUUAACAAUACAUUAUAAUAUUUAAAAGAAUUACACAAAUUUUAAUUUAAUUUAAAAUAAAUAUUAAAUUAUGAGAAAUAAAUAGAAUGCAAAUAGAUAAUAAUUUUUAAAUCAAUAAUAUAGUAAUAUAUUUUGUAAAUAGUAAUAUUAAUAAUAAAAACACAAAUCAUAUAUUUAAAAAAAGAAUAAUAAUAUUUUACUAGAAAUGAUAAAAUAUGACUAUUAAUAUUUUAAUAAAUUUAUAAAUUUUAAUUUUUGGAAAUAAAUAAUAAUAUUUUAUAAGAUGACAAUAGUUAAAUAUAUAUUUGAUCUAAAAUAAACUAUAAAAAUGAGUACGAUUCUUUUUUUUUUUUUUAAUAUGUAAAUAAAUCAAGUCUUUCUAAUGGUAGGUAUGCAUUUACUUCUUAAUAAUUGAAAACAUAUCCUAAAUCUCUUUAAUCUAAUAAUUUAUGAUAUUACUUGACUCAAUUUUGUUAAAGUGUAACAAUGUCGUUCUUGAACCUCAUGAUAGGUUACCCAAAUGAUGGUGAUGUUGAAUGCCAUAAAAAUCUUGGCUUAUCAUCACUAAAUACCAAUUGGUUUUUCAAUGUAAUGAUCAAAACCUGAUCCAAAAAUUGAUAUUAGAACCAAGUUCAUGAUACAUCACAUUAGGGUACAAUAAUAUCAUUCUUAAGCUAAGGGAUAGGUCACUUAAAUGAUUGUAAUGUCAAAUGCCAUAAAGAUUUGACCUAUGAUUUUCAUGCUAGAAGGUAAAAGUUCAAUCUAAGAAAUUUUGAUUUCCAAAUUAUUUUUAAAAAUUACUAGAAAAUUUUGAGUCCUAAAUUAUUUUUAAAAAUGAUUAGGCUUGUUAAAGAAUCAAAUACAUCAAGUUUCACUUGAUUUGGAGUAUGUUUUCUUGGUGAAAAUAUUCAAAUAUAUAUAUAUAUAUAUAUAUAUAUAUAUAUAUAUAUAUAUAUAUAUAUAUAUAUAUAUAAUUAGCUAUGGAGGAGAAAUUGACAUAGUCACUUCGGUCUAGUUUUGGUCUAGAAAAUUCUAGUGUUGUUUAGCAUAAUUUUUAUAUUCCAAUUUAUUUUUAAAAAUAAUUAGGCUCAUUAGUCAAUUCAACACAUUUUUUUUGCUUGAUUUGGAAUUUGUUUGUCAAUUGAGAAAAUUUAAAAAAAAUCUAUAGUUGUGUAUAGAAAAAAAAACUGGACAUUGUCAUUUUGUGCCAAUUUUAAUUCAAGAAAUUUGGGUAUUAAUUCACUUGAUUUUUAGUUCAAACUUAUAUUUAAAAAUUACCAAACUCGUUAAUGAAUCAAAUGUAUUAAGUAUCAUUUUAGUUUGCCUAAUGAGAAAUUCAAGAGAGUUUAAAAACCCAUUGUGGAAACUAUAAAUCUUUAGUCCAUGCUUAAACAAGGGUAGUACUUUCAUGAGUGAACGUAGGUUUACUCAUGCCUAAGUUCUAAUCAACUUCUCUUAGUUGCCUUGAAUUUUGUUAUUAGGUAAAUGGAAUUUAAGGGUCUAUUUAGUUGGUGUUAUCGAAAAUAGUUUAGGAAUAGUCUUUUCUAUUUUUAGAAAUAAAAUUGUAUUUGAGAACUAAAUUUUAAAAAAUAAAUUUUUUUUAAAAAAAAUAUAUGCUUGGUUAAGUUAAUAAAAACAAUUUUUUAAAAUAAGUAAAAUAAAAAAACUUGUUUGGAAAUUGCAUUAAAAAAAAAAGAGUGUUUUCUUCAAUAACUUGAUAUUGUAGAUAUAUAAAUAAUUUUUAGAUUUACACUUCAUUAAAAUAAAAAAAUUAUUCCAUUUUGAAAAUUAUUUGUAUCCGUGUUAAUUUUUAUUAAACGAAUAAUUAAUUUGUAAACAUGUCUAACAAUAUUUGAUUUCGAUAAUACUUUUAUUCAUACAUAUGGUAAACUCCUUAAUUAUUUUGAAACUUUUUUUUUUUAAAUUAUAAAUGCAUCAUAUUUAGACAUGUUUUCAUUAAAAAAAAAAAAAACUCAUCUAAAUUAUAUGCAUAUUAAUGCAAUCAAUAUUAAUACAAAUAAAGACUAUAAGCAUUUAGAUACCAACAUCAUAUUUUAAUAUAAUAUAUUAAAGUCCCUGAAUUUAUAGAUGAUAGUUUUUUAGAUAAUAUAUACAUUCACUUAAUAAAUAAAAUAAGAAGAAAGACGAUGAAUAAUGAAGAACAAGUAACGAUGUUACACCCACAACAACUAAUAAAUAGAAGACGACUUUAAGGAUUUAUUAUAAACAUUGAAUGUCAUAACUCAUAAGUUGACAACUAGAUGUUGAGAAUCAUACCCGUCAACUCAUAUAAAGCAAUGCAAAUAUCCCUACAAUAUAAAAAUUGUUAAAAAGAAUGAAAUGUAAUGUAUGUAUUUCAUUGAUAUCAAUUUAUUUUCUAGUUAGUUAAAUAUACUUAUAUGAUAUAAUGGACAACAAUAAAACCAAUCACCAUUGUUCUUUUGUGUUUUUGACAUAAAAAUGCGCAUACGUCCACACUCAUAGUAACACAUGAAUCAUUUUGUUCAUCCUACUUUUAUAAUUAUAAAUCAAAUUUAUAAGCAAUUUGAUCAUUAGAAAUUAUAAUAUACAUCACAUAACAAUAAUGACAACUAGUUAACAAAUAUAUAUAAAUUUUAAUAUAUAAUUGAAGUAUAAACAAAUAUUUAGAAUUAAAAAUAAUGCAAGUCAUGGAUUAACAUUGAUAUAAUUUGCCUAUAUCACUUAGCAAUUUGAUCUCUACAUGCUAUAGCUACGACACUCUCAUCUAAUAAAUCAAUUGAGUGGCUUGUAUAAUUGGCUUAUAAUGAGACAUAAUCCUUAAUAUCGAAAAUUGUGUCUUUAAAACAUCAAUACACCUUUCAAUAAUAUUCUGAAUGAAUGAAUCUCUAUAAUUAAAAAGUUCUUUAUAUUAGGUUUGUUAUGUUUACCCCAAUAUUCUUGUAAAUAAUAUUACUCACCUCAAUAUGGUGGUAAAAAUUCAGAUGUACAAGAAUAACCAAAAUCAACUAAAUAAUAUUUUCCUUCACUUGGCGAAGGAAAAUGGACUUCUAGUCUAGUCAAUGCAUCCAAAAAAAUACAUGCAUUAUUCGUUGUUUCUUCAUAAGUGGUAUAAACAAAUAUGAACAUCAUGCCAAAACCACAUGUACACAUAACAUUUUGUAUUAUAACUGUUUUUUUACGCUUAAACUUAGUGUAGACCCCCUCAGCUAGGGGCAUGGGCGGGUUUUUAUUUUUAUUCAUUUUUUUUCUUCUUCUUUUCGGCUUUCUUGAUCCACCCGAGGGCGGCUGGAAGUGAGAGGGGGGAGAAAGAGCUAUCCUUAGGCGGCUGUAGGGAGCAGGAACAGGGGAGCAGGUGCUUGAUUUUCGGAUCUGGGGAAAAAGAAAGGAGAGGGCGUUCCAAAGAGGGGGGUGGCGGAGGAGAAGCGGGAAGUCCAUUUCACCAUUUUUUUUUCUGAUUCCAGGUAUGACUUCAAUCCGCUUUGCGCUUCUCGUUAUGAACUGUUCUUUUCUGUUUCUCAUUGUUCAUGGUUCAUGAUGCUUGAAGACUACAUGCAUUUCUCUGUUCUGGAACGCUUCAAAUAAAGAUCCAUUGCUGCUCUUGUUUUUUUUUUUAAAUAAAUCUUCACAGUCUCACCUUUCUCUCAUUUUUCUCUCCUUUUCUCUCUGCCCAAACAUCCUUUCCCGUGGUUCUCUUCUUUUUUUCUUUUUUUUUCUUUCUUUUUCUUUCCUUCUCUCUCCGUCUCCAUGGAAAGCCACUCACCUGCUCAAACACUUCUACCCCCCACCAACACCAGUUUUCUUCUCUAAACCAUCACCCUCAUUUCCCACCUGCAUGCAUGGAGCUUUACAUGCAUGGCCUUCUCCCUCUCCACCUUUAUUUCUCAUUAUUUCUUUCCAACACCGAACCCACCACCUGCACCAUCAUCCAAACCGCCACUAGUGUCACCACCUAAGCUGCUAUCCGCUUCGCGUUUUGCCAUCGCGGGAGGAGGUUUUCUGAAGCUUUACUACCCUGGCAAUGUGUGCCCGUAAUCCUGGGAAGAAGUUUGCAAAGAGGAUGACCCGCGCGCCCCCGUUCAAGGACGUGUUCGAUUCACUGGUUUCCUUGGCAAUGUCGGCGCCAGCUGUAGCUCUCGGUAUGCCGCCCCUAAAUCCUGUGCAGAUUGGUACAAUCGAUGGUACCGGCUCCGCCGCGGUCACGACUGGUUGGUGCGUAGAGAGGUUCUUGGCGACCUUUGGCUGGAAGGGCAUUCGGGCGUGUGCAUGUGGGGCAUCCAGCCCGCCUGCCACCGUUCCUAGUCGGGCAUCAGAAGUUGGCCUGAAGUGAUUUGGGCUGGGACGUGUUUCUUCAGGCGAGAAAUGCAAUGGGAAGCCAAAAUUGCAACUAUGUGGGAUUAUGUUUGGGCUUCCCAUUACACAUUCUGGGCAUUCAAGGCCCAUGGGUUUUCUUAAAUAAAAUAAAAUAUUCUUCCCACCCUAGGCCCAUUAAAGGGCUCAAUUUGAGCAGCCAUUGUCUAAGUCCAUUUAUUAUUAUUAUUAUUAUUACUUGAAUCUUCAAAUUCAAUUUUUAUUAUUAUUAUUACUAUUAUUAUUAUUAACUCAACUUUUAAAAUCUAUAGUCUAAUUUCCUAAAGUUCAUUUAUUAUUAUUGUUAUCACUUAAAUCUUCAAAUUCAAUUUAUUAUUAUUAUUAUUAUUGUUAUUAUUAUUAGUAUUAUUAUUAUUAUUAACUCAACUUUUAAAAUCUAUAGUCUAAUUUCCUAAAGUUCAUUUAUUAUUAUUGUUAUUACUUAAAUCUUCAAAUUCAAUUUUUUAUUAUUAUUAUUAUUAUUAUUAUUAUUAUUAUUAGUAUUAUCAUUAUUAAUAACUCAACUUUUAAAAUCUAUAGUCUAAUUUCCUAAAGUUCAUUUAUUAUUAUUGUUAUUACUUAAAUCUUCAAAUUCAAUUUUUUAUUAUUACUUAGUAUUAUUAUUAUUAUUAACUCAACUUUCAAAAUCUAUUCAUUUCUUAUUAUUACUAUUAUUAUUAUUAUUAUUAAAAUUUAUAUUCCCGUAGUUUAAUUUCCUAAGGUUCAUCUCUUAUUAUUAUUAUUAUUAUUAUUAAUUCAAAAUCUAUAUUCUCGUAGUUUAAUUUUCUUGAAGUUCGUUUCUUAUUAUUAUUAUUAUUAUUAUAUAAUUAUUAUUAUUAUUAUUAUUAUUAUUAUUAAAAAUCUAUGUUCCCGCAGUUUAGUUUCUUAAAGUUCAAUUCUCAUUCACACUUUCAAUAUCUAUUUAUUAUUAUUAUCAUCAUCAUUAAUCCAAACUCUCAAGAAUCUCAUUAUUAUUAUUUUUAUUACCUCAACUUUCAAAAUCUAUUUAUUAUUAUUAUUGUCAUCAUUAAUCCAAACUUUCAAAAAUCUCAUUAUUAUUAUCAUUAUUACCUCAACUUUCAAAAUCUAUUUAUUAUUAUUAUUAUUAUCAUUAAUCCAAGCUUUCAAAAUCCUAUUAUUAUUAUUACUAACCCAACUUUCAAAAAUCUCAUUAUUGUUAUUAUUAUUAUUACCUCAACUUUCAAAAUCUAUUUAUUAUUAUUAUUAUCAUUAAUCCAAACUUCCAAAAAUCUCAUUAUUAUCAUUAUCAUUAAUUCAACUUUCAACAUCUAUUUAUUAUUAUUAUUAUCAUCAUUAAUCCAAACUCUCAAAAUCUUAUUAUUAUCAUUAUUGUUAACUCAACUUUCAAAAUCUAUUUAUUAUUAUUAUUAUUAUCAUUAAUCCAAAUUCUCAAAAUCUUAUUAUUAUUAUUAUUAUUAAUUCACAUUUUCAAAAAUCUUAUUAUUGUUAUUAUUGUCAUUAAUUCAGACUUUCGAAAUCUUAUAAUAAUUAUUAUUAUUAAUUCAACCUCUCAAGAUCCCAUUACUAUCAUUAUUAUAAAUUCAACUUUCAAAAGUCUAUGGUCUCGUAGUUCAAUUUCCUAAAGUCCGUUUCUCAUUUUCUUUAACAAAUUUUGAUUUAAUCACCGGAGCUCUAAUCUUCAAAAUGUAAUUCCAAAUACUCCAAUUUUCAAAUAAGCUCCAAUAAUUCAGUUUUCACUCGAAUAAUUUUUAAUCACAUUUCAGUUCCUAAAUAAUCUUCUGAUCUUCUUGAUUUUACAUAAGCAAUAGUGAUUCCUUCAUAAUUCUUAAACACGGGAUUUGUGAGAUUAGCUCAUGAGCAAUAAAUCGGGCUUUGUUGGGGCCCUAUGUUUAACCAUCUUUGACUGGCAAUUAUCGUGCUUACCGUAUUUUGCUUGAGCUCCGUUUUGCACUCCGAUAUGUAUGAGCUAUGUUUUGUAUUCAUUAAUUGUGCACUAAUCCCGUUUUUUUUUAUAGCGCAUUGUGGCUCGUGGCCGAGGUACACAUCCACUCCCUUUCUAGUCAAUCUCUAUUGCGUGUUUUGAUUCUCAUAUUGUGCAUGAUUUAGGUGGAUAUCCAUUGACUUUCUCGUUGAUUGCCACGUCAGUCUCAUUGUAUUAGUAGAGACCCGACUUUAGGGGCUUAGAGGGGUGCUACGGUCUUUACCGUACCUUCCCGAUGAGUAACCUGACCCCCGAACCCGAUCCGGUUUUUCACAGACCACCUUUUCCAAAACAAGGAGCCACACUUAGGGUUUUUCUUUCUUAUUUUGUUUACCCUUUUAAAAAUAAAACAAAAAUAAGUGGCGACUCCAAGUCAUUUUUCAAACAAUAAAGAUCAAUUUUUCGAAAUCAAAAUCGAGUUUCGCCAUCGAGUGGGAAACGCAUGAGCCGAAAUGCGGGGUCCACACUUAGUUUAUCCAUCAAUUGGGAGUCUUGUGCUAAUAUAGGUGUCAUCAAUUGCAACAAUACAAUCCUACAACAAAAUAUAUUUAUUAUCAUUAAGUAAAGAAAACAAUGGCCAUGAAAACUUCUUAUGUACACAAUGUUCAAAUUUAUAAAUAUUAUUUAUAAAAUCUUACGUUUAAUCAUAGAAAAUUUCUCUACCUAAAGCCCAAUAUAUUAUCUCUUUCACUCUUUUUGUUCAUAGUUCUAGAAGUUAAUCCCAAACAAUGAGUUUCCUAAUUUUAAUUAGACUCAAAAAUAGUAAUUUAACCAUUCAAAAAUAAAAAUAAAUAAUUUGAGUGAAAAUUACAAAAGGCCUAGCUGUAGUGUUAUGAUUCAAAUAAUUUGGAAUAGGAAUGCAAAGGCCAUUUCUCUUCAUCUGCAAAGCUCCAUUCCCUGAAGCUUAAAUGAUAAUUCUCACAAAUUAAAAAGGCCUUGUAGAGUUAAAAUUUGCUCUUCAUCUGCAAAGCUCCAUUCCCCUAAGCCUAAAUGAUAAGUCUCACAAAUUAAAAAGGCCUUGUAGAGUUGAAAGUGAAUUACAAAUUUACAUUUAUUUAUUUAUUUAUUUAUUUAUUUUUGACAGAGUUGCAAUCAUUCAACAUCAUCUUCCUCGUUAAAUUAUAUGAAGUUAAGGUGAUAUUUGUUUUUUAAAAUUAAUAUUGAAUGUAAUUUGCUUUUAGACGGUUUGUUUUUAUUUUUUCAACUUAUUACUUAUUUUUUAAUUUUUUUUAACUCAAUAGAAAAAGUCAAGGGAUUUUUUGCCCAAUACUAAAAAUAACUUUUUAAAAACACAAUCUCAACAUUGCCUUGGUCUUAUUAAUACUUAAUACUUAAUAGAAAUAAAAUAAUGAAAAAACAAACAACUCAAUACUUGAUACUAUUAAGUUAUUUUUAAAGUUAAAUUAAGUUUUAUUUAGAUUUAAACAAUAAAUAAAUAAAUAAACAAACAUCACUUUUAAGUGUCCAACCAAAUUAAGACUUGAAAACUAAAAUAUUGCAGAUUCACAGCCACCACCGCCGCCGCCGCCGCCCCCCCUUGGAUAUUUUCAAUUUGAUAAACACAACACAAAUCAAGAAAAAUUCAACCAACUUUUCCAAACCCUUGGCAUUCAUUUGAUUCAAAUGCAAUCAGAAGUGACACAACUUCACCACACAACACAACACAACACUUUGAGCUUCCUUGUGGUGCAAAUGGCAUUAGAACAGCCCCAACAGGGCUUCUAUUUCACCACAAGGAAGCCCAAGUGUCGUAUCCCGAUCCCCUCUAAUCUUAUACUACUCCCUACCAUACAAAUUCUAAGAAGUCUUUCACAAUCUUUAAACACAAUUAAAACAAAAAACCCGAUUUAGAGGUCUAAUUAUCAAUAAUAUAAAGAUCAGGACAUAUGAAUAACAAGUUUAAUCCACAUUAUCCUACUAUGAAUAAUGGAAGUGUCGUCAGUUUUCCAACCCCAUACUAUGACCAAAUUUAUUAUCAGGAUUUGGUUUUGAAAGAAAAAUUGCACCAACUCAUUUCUGAAGUAAGAAGCUCCAAAUAAGGGAAGAGGCUACACUGCAUUCAUUUACUGUCUACUUAAGAUCAUUCUAUAUGAGAAUAUAAGUGAUGUUUGUGGAAGACAAUAAGCUAGAUUUGAUCAAAAUUUUGGAGUGGUUUUUUCAGUCAAACAUGUUGCUUUCAUUUUUGAUCUCCAAGAAACAGUUCUGUUUGCACUUUCUAUAUGAAUCCGAGGCAAAUAAAUCAGAAUCCCUACUUUUGAAAUUGAAAUAUUCUUAUUCAGUCUACACUGUUCUUUUUGAUACCUUAAAAUAUUUCACCUGAGGUCUGUAUACAUCGAUCUUUUCUGAGAGGCUAUGCUGUGAUCUGAAUUUUCUUUGUUGUCAAAAUUGAGGUUUCAUGGCCUUUAUCCUUUUCAACCAUAGCCUAUCUAUUGUGUGUCCCACCGGGGAAGGUUCGCAGUUGCUUCGUUCACCAUCUUCACAAGAGUCACCUGCAAAUGUGAAAACAAAUAGAGUCUUAUCAUGAUUUCCAUCAUAAUGUGCAUAGAAUGAAUUCAUAAUUGGACAGUGCGAGUAAAGAUCCCAAAACACAGUAAAGAUGAGCAUAAUAAUAUGCCUGAGUUUAAAUAACCCCCUUGAUCCUCCUCUUACACAAACUCUAAAUGGAGGAAUCAUAUUUUUUGUACUUUGUCCCGAUGCUCAUCCUAAUACGAACAGGGUUCUAAAUAAACUCCUUUCACUUUAUUGUGAUACCUUCCAAUAGCACCAUUCAUAUUUCAUCAAGUUGCUCGACUUCUAUAGCCAUGCACUUGUGGCAAUGUGGCUAAACCAAACACGGUCUAAAUGGAUGAUAUCUUUGCAGAAAGGGAAAAUUUUGUCAAAGUCAACUGUUCUUCAAGGAAUCCAUCCUCCAAACCAAUUUAUCUAUUAAUUUUUUUUUUAAUACAGAAAAAUUCAAAGAUUAUUGUUCCCUUGAAUUUUCUAGCUCAGAUUCAUCUUUUGAACAAAACAUGCUCCAAAAAGGAACACUAAGUAGUAGGCAGUUUAACUGAUCCAGUGAUGGAUCUUCUCAGGCAAAUCAGUCCUCUUAUUCCACAAAAUUAGCAUUGCUUAAAACUAUCAAAUGGCUCAUUGUUUUCACAACAUAUUUCCACCAGCCUUCUUGUCCAAUUAAGUUAUUCAUGAUAUGGCUUUUUUAAUAACUCAAAAAUCCACCAGUCCUGCUUGCAAGACCAGGGAAAUGCACAGAUACAGAAACCACACCCUAAGAACUAUACGUUACUUCUCCUACAUGUGUGCUUGACAUCAGUAUGGUGCCAGCCUGACAAAGAUUCUAUGCUUUUGUUCAUUCCUUGAGAAGUGAGAGGUGAGAAUUCUCCCUCUAGUAUGAGAAGUGAGAAUAUGCUACCUAUUGGGUAAGGAAUAAGAGGUGCAUAUACCUCUUAUUGCAUGAUAUACAAAUGACACUCCCUGCCAGUGAAUUAUGUGGUAGCUUGCAUGUAAAUGAUGUGCUAGUGAACUCUAGAGAUGCCAUGUGGUCUCAAUGAUAAGAGCGGCUCCCCAGAUGAAGUUUUGUUUGCUAUUGGUAUGAAGAGUUUGGGACUCUCAACUUGUUAUUUCUCCAUGAGGUCUCAAGCUCACCUUUCUCAGCUUGUCCUGAGCUCUAUAAGGUGUCAAGCUGUUGUAGCUCCAAGAAUCAAGCUUGUUAAUAAAAGAACAGAGAGCUGAGUGUGCAGCAGCAUGCAGCAGUGUGCAGCAGCGUGCUCCAUGCACAGAAUCCAUGGAGACCUUAAAGCCUUUCUUGUUCUUAGCUCUAAUUUCUUCUGUAGCUCUUUGUUUCAAUUAAAGCUCUCUUCAUCUAGUUUGAAGUUUGAACCCAUCUGAUAUACAGAGGAAUAAGACAGACAUAUUCCCGAACUCUUCAUACAACCGCCAAAUAAAACUUGUUUCAUGAAUUAUCCUUAGCAGGAAAAGCACAUGGCAGCACUGCAACUCACUAGCACACCAUUUAUAAACAAGCUACCACAAACUAGGCAAGAGGAUGUGAUAUUUGUACAUGACGGAAAAGGGGUGCAAAUGCCUUCAUUUCUUACCCAAUAAGCAAUAGAUUCUCACUUCUCAUACUUAUGAAGAGCUUUCCUCCUCUAACCUUUACUUUCUUGGGAAAUUAACAAAAUCUAGCUGACGUGCAAGGGAAGCAAUCAAAUCAGUUUCUAAGUCUGGCCCAAAGAUCAGAAGCCUCAACUACUAAAAAGUCCUCUAGAACAACAAAGCUUUUGAUUUAGUAAUAGGCAAGUGAUCACCUUAGGAUGAUUUCCCAAAUCCAUAGGUUGAUCAAAAUUUUUUUCUUUAAUGUGGCGUAACCAAUAAAUAAAUGCAAAAACAAACAGGUUACCCUUUUCAUAUGGUUUUUGAGAUUUCUUGCGUUGUGAGCAUGGCAAUGAUCCCAUGCACUUCAUUUCAUAAAAUUUCUUAAAAAUGAAAAACAUUAGUAUCUUACAUGUCUAUAAAAAUCGAAGCACUAAAAUGACAAUCUAAAACAACAUUAAAGCCUACUGAAGACAAUAAAGAAAAAAGAACAAUGCACAACAAGAUUAAUGUGCUUCAGAAAACCCAAAGUUGUGGAAUAAAAUCCUGCCACACCCUUCCCAAUGACAUAGUGAAAAGGAGGAUAUGAAAGGCUAAUCAACCCAAGCACCAAUAGUAAAAGAAUUUGGGCCUCAAAAAAUUGGGCCCAAAAAAUCCAACAUGGUCAUACUAAAAUCUCUCUCAAAUUUUGCUCAUAAGGUUGAUAACGAUACUUUGCAACCCUAGAUAUCCUUAUUCUUACAUGUAGUGAGCAAGAUGUUUUUCUCUAUUUCCCUAGCAUUGUCUUAGUCCUUGAACAACUAACUAAAGGCCCAUUUAGAUAGCUUUCCUAUUUUUGAAUUUAGCUUAACACUUAAGUUAAAGCCAAAAUCAAAACUUCAAAAAGGUAACACUGAAAUAGCUUCCUGCAUAAGCCAAUAGAGUUUUUUUUUUUUAAAAAAAAAAAAAAAAAAGUACCCAGUUUUUCUAAUUUCCUUAUCAAACUCUUUUCAAGUCGUAAGCUCUUUCAACAAAAUUAACUAACUAAAAAGGGUAGGAGCUCUUAUUAAGCUUACAAAAACUAAUCCAAACAAGGCUUAGAUAAGGUAAUGGUUGGCAACUUGGUACUACUUGAUACUAACCUCAUUGAUACCCAUCAUAAAGUCUUUGCUGAAGAUGAUUAAUGACAUGAGAAUUUCUCAUACAAUGUAUGGACCAUAUGGCUACAUUGCAUUGUGUUUAAGGUUGGUAAGAUAUCAACCAAAACAUUGUUAGGCAACAAGAUGCAAUCUAUUUUCCUGCUUUCCAUCUUUCUCCUUCCUAAUUUUCUUCUUCUAUCAAAAACUACUUAUGACAUCUUAGGAGCCUACUUUGCCUCAAUGUGCAUCACAUCACUGAACAAAUCUGCCGAAGUACCAUGAUGGGAGGGAUUUCACAUGUACAAAUGAGCAUUCCAUGAGAAAAGCUCCAUAAGAACAAGGAAAUAUAAAUAGUAAUACCAAAAAAGAAAAUUUCUUUGUUCUCCAGCCGAUAAUAAUGAACAUAAAAUAAAGUUAAAACACCCUUGUUAGGCUCCCAUUAACAGGGAUGAUAGAGGAAAGGGAGAAAAAACAUAGCUAAAAGAAAACAAGACAAGAAAAAUUAGUAUUAGAAAAUGAAAUUUUCAUUUGAUGGUUAACCCAAAACAACUAUACUAUGAAGAUAGAAAUCAAAAAGUUAAAACACACUUGUUAGGCUCCCACUAACAGGGAUGCUAGAGGAAAGGGAAAAAAACAUAGCCAAAAUAAAACAUGAGAAGAAAAAUUAGUAUUAGAAGAUGAAAUUUUCAUUAGAUGGUUAACAGCAAACAACCAUACUAUGAAGAUAAAAAUCAAAUACCAGCAGUAUAAACAAUUGCCAGUGGAAUCUGACUUCAAUUGUAAGUAGACAGCAUACAUGGGAACAAUGUAUAUGAAAUGUGAAGGAGUCACCAUGAACAUACCACACUUUCAGGAACCCCUGGAGGCGGCAAGGAAAGGUUUCUAGGAGGAGGUCCACGUAGGUAUGAUCUCUUGUCAAAUCGCCACUCUCCAAUUUUCCCAUAUGUCAGCUCACCCUGAAUAUCAAGAAACUUUGAACAGAUAACCACAGAACCAAUACCACAAAAUGCGAACUUAGGGAUACCCAAACAUAACGAUGAUAAGAGCCAGUAAUAGAUAAAAUAGUGAGAAUAUUAGAAGGAAUAAUGUCCAAGCCCAGGAAAAGAAAAAGCAUGCUUGAAGAAUCGAGAAGAACAACAAAUAAGAUGAGAUACACAGUUGUAGUUGGCUAUGAGCUUCUCAUAAUAUGAGGAAAUGGGAUGGAAGAAGGUACUUUACCUUUAAGUUGUAGUCACAUCCAUAAGUGUAGUGAAUAAUAAACUUCUUUGCAGUUUCUAAAUCCCAUGGUGGCUGAAAAUUUAAAAUUACAAGGACUCUUCAAUAUCAUCUUCUAUAUACAUGUACUAAUGUUGUCUCUGCUGGAUAAUGCAAAAUACUUGGAACAUAGACUAUAUCAUCAAAAUUUAAAAUAUUAGAUGCCAAACCUGCAACAUAAAGUCCUUCUGAAGAAUAUGCUGCACGCCAUGCAAGGCAGAUGCUACUGCAUAUGCAUACCUUUGUUCAAGAAAGGAAAAAAAAAAAAAAAAGGUUGUUACUAACACCAAAAUGUGCUAGAAUUAGCUGGAAUACCAGGGAAAAAAAAGGCUGUUUCCAUGUGGAAUUUUGUCUCACAUUUCUAGCACCCAUCCAAAUACUUUAUCAGUUUCUGGGUCAUCUUUCAUUCUCAAAGAAACAUUCAUCCAUGUAGGCGCAAUCUUCUCCAACAACUCCUGCACGGGACAAUUAAGUAAACCAAAAUGUAAUUCACAUUUUUACAGAAAAAAAAAUGAGGGAGCAAAAAAAUAAAGAAAGAAAGUGCGGCUUUUGGAUGUAGAGACACUGUAAUAAUAAUUAUAAAUUAAAAUGAUAAUAAUAAAUAGUGAGAGUAGAAGUCGAUUGGUUCCUAGUUGAGGGCCCAAAACACAUCUUUCUCCCUUUUAUUCCAUUAAACCUAACUUAUAUCAAUUUAAAUUAAAAGGGUAAUAUAGUCAGUGAAAAUUUCAAUAUUAUAUUACUUAUUUCAAAUUGGCCAAACCACAUCACUCUAGCACCACAACUUAAAUAUUCCUCUCCAACCCACCAAUGGCUAGUUUAUAGUUGGAACAUGCAAGUAUCACCUGUGCCACCACUAAAAGUAAGAACAAAGUAGAAGGCUAGCAUCAUCAUCAUCUGAUCAUAAUUUUAAAUAACUAGCAUAAAAGGGAUAUAAAUGUUUCAAUAAUUAAAUGGCCCACCAUUGAAGAUAAAAUCAGGUAUCAGUAGGUAACCUAGCAACAAGAAACUUUACCCUCUUGAUAAUUACAGGAGAGUUGCCAAUUGGAUCAACAUUUGUCACAGGGCCAUGUUCCUCAGGAUAGAACUUCCUUAUUAUUUUUUCAUUUUGAACAGGCUUAAUGUAGAAAAAGGGAUAGGCAGCUGGAUAGUCUCCAUGUGCCAAAUUAGGCAGGGGCUUUAUAAAUAUGUGAUCAGGCUCUGCCAUCAGUAUGUAUCUGCAGCAGUAAGAGUAAAUAAGCUUUAGUAUCUGUUCAGAGUCAAAUGCAACCGAGUUCCAGGUCAACAAAUAUAUAGAAACUCACUCUUCCUCAAUUGUAGCCUUUUCCAGCCAUUGCACAAAGGCCCAUGGUCUGUUUAGGACAAUGUAUCCCUGGAUACAGCAUUUGUAAACCAUGUCACGAAAGAAACAGUAAAUCUAAUAUCUUAAUAAUUUAAGAGACAGACUAACAAUUAUCAUUAGCGUACAUCUGAUUAAAGGAGAAUAAGAACAGCAGAAAGAACAUCUAAUAAUUUGCCAGCCUAGAGGUAACCUGGACAUAUUCUGGCUCUUAUUGGCUAACUUAGAAGCAGAGGAUUAACACUCAACUUCUGUUUGAACUCCAGAUACUUCAUGGAAAUUACUUAAAUUGGAGUUUACAACAUCUUAAAAAAAUUGUAAAGAUUCAAGGUUUUAGCCAUGAAAUCUCAAUUAAAGAAAUCUCAAUUGAAGUUUGGCCGCUUUAGAGUGAAACAUAAUGAGUUGAUGUUAAAGCCAUGGUCAUAAGGAAUGCCACCAUAAAUAACAUUCAUUGAGAGACAAAUCAAAAGGCUGAAAGUAUAUAGAAUUCCUGCAAUUAUCUGUCUUAUGUAAAAUGAACUAUCAGGAGCAGGCACUGUGGAAAUAUUUUAAAGAAAUCCUGAAAUGUAAGAACUUUUUCCACAAUGUGUGGUACACAGUCAACUCAACUCAACCAAGUCUUAUCCAGUACCUUGUGUUCUGGUGUAUUAUCCAAUACUUACCAAACCAUUCAAGAAUACAAAUGUCGGAAUGACAACAUCUGCUCCCUGAUGACAUUGAUUUCCCCAUUUAGAUUGUCAUGUUGGGAUUUUAUUUGACAAACUCCACAUAACCUAGUCAGUGCAUACCACCCAUCCAGUUUGCAAUGUCUACACAUCAUUAUGACCAGACCAUCAUCCAUGCUAUAUUCUGCAACCUAAGUGCUAGGUAGAUAAGACAGUUCUCCACUAGAAUGGCACCAAGUGUCCUUUCCCUCCUGCUGGAUGCACUAAGUGGCCAACUCCAUAUUUCUUCUUGUGUUUAUCACCUCCCUAUCGCCUCUUGAGUCACAAUGCUAACCAUUUAGGUACAAAUUUCUACCUAUGAAUGGAUGCCUGAAUAUUUCAAAUAUCCAUGAGAUAUGGAGGCCCACUCAAAGUGGAUGGUAAGGAGUCCAUGGAUUUAGAAGGAAAUACUGUUUCAUUCCUAUGAACCUUGAGUAGCUUAGGCAUGGGAGAGCAUUUUAGAAGUAGCCUAGGGAUCUUGCUUUAAUGACUAGAGUUAGAGAUCCAUCAAGAAGCGAUUAACAUGAAUCAAGCCUAUUCCAGCCUGCAUAAGUAGGAGAAAUAAUCCACCAAUAUCUACAAGACAUGCUACCAUCAGAAAUGUCCAUGUCAUCACACGGGGAUUCAUGGGAGUCACUGUUUACAAGCACUAUAAAAAGGCUUAAUGUUUUAUGGCAAAUGAGUAACAGAACUCAACCUUGCUAUCCUAGAUAUCAAUAUUAUCUUUUAAUCUGCUGAUGAUUGUGAGUUUCUCAAAAUGGAGCACCCUCACUAUACACUCCUCAGUCCUCUCCUUUCUCCUCUCAAACUUUGACAGAUCAUUGCCUAACAUGGUUGACCUCCUCUAACCAAGAACCCAACACAAUAUUUUGGUGCUUCCCUGGGAAGUUAGUAUAAUAAGAUGGUGACACAGGAAAGGGUCCAGUAAGUCUUGUCCACCUCUACCUUGCACAUUUGACCACAAAGAGCUCCUAGUUGCACUAAUUCCAACUCUCAUCUCUCAAGCACAAACCCCACCCAAACAACUUCUAACUUCUUUUACAAAUUUAUUCCUGAAUUCUACAUAUUAUUCUAUGUGCCUAACAAUUCUUCAAUCACAAAUCUAAAGCUAGGAAUUGAGCUUUUGCAUGAGAAAAUAACAGUAACCAGGUAAAGAAAAACAUAUAGAAUAAUGUGUUCCUAGUUACAUGGAGCUUGCUUGCAAUUUUCCAACAACCUAAAAGAAUGCCGUUAUACAACAAAGAAUAUAAGAAGCAAAGAUGUAUAAUAACAGAAGAAGAUUUCUCACCCGAUCCAAACCUGCAGGAAGAGGAUCAACCACAAAAGUAGGAAUCUCUUCCAUCAGGUUAUCAGGACUUCCUGAAUGCAGAAUCCUUGUAAAUCCUCCCAUCUCUGAUCCAGGCAAGUCCUUUUUCUUCUUGUACCAGUAGUACAUUAUGCGACACUGCCAUUUGCUGUAAGGAGCAUCAGUUGCUGUUAGGGCAAUGUGGAAGGGCAACUUGGCAUUUUUUGGUUUUCUCACAUUCUCAGGCAUCUCUAUAAUUGGAUCAGAUAAUAAGCGAUGGUCUGAUUCAUCAACAACCAAUGUCCCCGUAGCUCUAUUAUGAAUUGUCAUUGUUAACAAGUUGUAUGUCGCAAAGAAAAACCCAAGAGACAAAACAACCAGAAACAGUGGUGAGAUACGUGCCAUGGCCUUCCUCACAAUCAUUUUUUUAUCAUAAAGGAAACAGAAUUCUAAUCCUCAGAGCCAAACAAACCAAUUCUCCUACUUGAAACAACUAAUGAAGAAAACCAUUAGCUUGAUGACACUCCUCCAGUUCACCAGUCCAUGAUAUCAUGGAGCCACAGUUUUAAAAUCUGAUUUAUAUGGGAGAACUUCCAAGCACUUUUUCAAGAUAAAUGAACAAAAAAGAAAGCUUUAACAAGCUAUCUGCAAAAGAAAAUAAUAAGGAUGGGUAUCAAUAAUAAGGAAGAAGAUCAAAUUAAGAUAUGCAAGGUGUAUGUCAAUAAAGGCAGAAUUUUUCAAACUACAAUGAUUCAAAAUUCUCAUAAUUCAUAUAUAAGAUGUUCAAAAUGAAGUCAUUAACCCAAAACUCAUUCCAAUGCAACAGUAUUUAUUAACAGAAUUUUAUGCAUAUGCCUAAAAACCAAUUUUUUAAAAGAUGGCUGCAAAAAUUCAAGCUCUAACAAAUACUUUUCAUAAUCAUAGUGACACAGGAGUGUACUUCUACAUGGUCCAAGAAUCUGAGUCAAAGGGGCUUCAGAUUCUCACAUUAAUUUCCUAAGCUUCAACCAAAUUAGAACCAGAUUUUGAGAAAUCUUUUGGAGUAAAGCUGGUGUUGAUCUGGCAGAUUUUUGGUAAAAUGGUUCUACUUCAUUCAAGUCAACUGGGAAUUCCUAUUUUUACCUCUCCUUUUCUUACUUUCAUUAAUUUCCUAGGUGAAAUUGCAGUCCAUCAGUAAGUCCUUAAGAUGUGAUCUAUUUUUCAGUUAGAAAGCUUCUUGGAAUUCACCUAGUUAGUUAGUUUGGUGUUGAGAAUGUAAGUUAGCUGCUUUGGAAGCCUAUGCUUGGAGGGUUGUUCCAAGUGUAAGCUAAAUAAGUCUUUUGAAUUGUAUGGGAGGGAGUUUUUUGCUGCUUGAAAAGAAGAUAUCUUCAGUUCAACAGAGAGUACUUUUCUCAAAGAACUCUGUAUCUCUUAGGUGGAUUCUAUUGACUGGUGGGUUCCAGAUUUUCAAUGGACUCAAAGGGUGGUGAUUUCCAUAUCCCUGGGGAGUUCAUUGUAAUCUUAUCCUCUGUUUUCUCCAUCAUUCUGGUAUCACAUAGGGACAAGAUAUCCAUGUGAUGCAGAUUAAUUUAAGGUACACAAGAUUCACAGAAAAGAACAUGAAAGGAAAUUUCAGACCAUAUCUGUUCAAAAUGCUCAUUAAACCUACAAAAUUAAUAGCAAUUCCCCAGUAUACAGCAUAACAUGGAAGCAAUUAUAAGAAUACUAGUUCUAUAUGAACAACUUUAGAAAGAAAAUUUCCAGGAGAUAACACAGAAAAACAUAAGCUCUGAGAAAAACCUACACAAAGAUAAGGGAAAAUUUUCUAUGUGAUGAAGGACUAAGGUCAAGUUGAGGUGAACAAAGUUCAUUAUACAUGCAAGAAAACUAAAACUAGAAUGAUGAAAAAAUUGUUUCAUAUUGAAGAGCAAAGUUAUCCAGAAUAAUUGACGGAACUCGUCAAAGGAUUCAAACCCAUAAAACCUUUUCCAAUUCUCUCACCCAGAACAUAACCUGAAGCACUAUCAAACAAUGUCUUCCUAUCAUACAAAGACUAAACAAUUUUUAAGCAGAUACCCAAAAGGUGCAACCUUGAACAAUGAAAAUGCAUUAAAAAUAAAAACCAAAAUAUCAAUGUGCUACAAUCCAAAAUGGAUCAACAAAAAAUGAAAUUCACAGAACUAACACUACGAGAUAAUUGUGAUUGAUCAGAUCAAACAAAACUCAAAAGAACAAGCCACCAAUCAUUACAAUUAUAGCAAUACGAAGAAGAAGAAGAACCAUGAAGGAUUGAUGAAUUCUGGGUCAAACAGAGAAGUGAGGUCAAUAUUUCCUCAAAAAUCCAAACUUGAGAACUUGGGUUUAGAAGUCUACCUGAACAGACCAAAUGGGCACCAAGAAAAAUAGAAAAAAGAGCUAGAACAACAAAAACUGGAGCAACUAGAGCCUAAAUAAACAUGGGGUUGACGCAGUGAUUAAAGAAGGAGUGAAGACGAGAGAGAAACAAAUGUAUGAGAGUUGUCAGCGAAUUAAGUGAAGGAGUUAAAGAAACAGGGCAGAAAAAUAAAUUUGGAAAUAUAGUUAUUGAGAUCAGAGGGACAGGGAGAGAGAGAGGCAGAGGCACAACCUGAAGGUGUCUGAACACAGCAGGAAAAGAGAGAAAAAGAGAGAGGAGAGUGUUUUUUGGAUCCGGAAUUCAUAUUUGAAAAGUAGGUCUUCUGCUUGAAGCUUUCUAAAGUCGUCCCUGUCCCUUUUCCCUUUACAGAAAUAUUUUACAUUUUCUUUUAUUUUAAAUUUUCAUUAAUUAAAUUUUUAUAUUUCUUUUAUUUUUAUCUGAAAUCAGAAUUCUGAACAUUCCAAUGCCUUUUACAUUUAUUUUUAAUUAAAAAAAUAAAAAUAAAAACUUCCUUAUUAAAAUCAAAAAUUUUUUUUUUUUUUUUUUCUAAUUUGACUUUAGCAUAUGCCAAAUGUCGGAACAUGGUGGAUGGCCACUAAGGAUAAGAAGCUCAUCAUUAGUAACGAUAACGAAUAAAACAAUAAUCAAGUCAAAACUGUUUGAUAAAUAAUUGAUUGUAAAAAGGGCAAGAAUAAUAUACAUGACCAAGGCCCCAAUCCAAAACUUUUUGGGCUUUCGAUUAGGCUGAAAUUUUAGGCCCUGUUUGGUUUGUGAAAUAGGAGGAAUGAGAAAAGUAAAUGUAAUAGGACUAUUCCAAUUUUUUAUGGUAAGCAAGUUAAGAGAAGACUAUUAUGGUCUAUUUGGAACUGUUUUUAAGAACAGUUUUUUGUUCUUUACAAUAAAAACCACAGAAAACAUUUUUGAUAAUAAAAAAUUAUUUAUAUUUUUUAUUCUUAAAAAUGGAAGGCAUAGUGUUUUUAAAAAAACGUCGUUUAGUUGUUGUUUUUUUGUUAUUUUCACUUAUUUUUUGAAGGUUAUUUAAAAAAAUAAUUAUAUAAGCAUGUAAAAUAAUUAAAAUAAAAUACUAGAUAUAAAAAUUAUUUUUAAAAUAUAUUUAAAAAUUAUUAAAAGGUUAAAAAUAUUUUAGGUUUUCAAACAGACUUCUCUUUUAUAAAAAUUAGAAACUAUUUUUAAAAAUUAUUUUUGAAAACAAUUAUCAACCAUGCCCUUAUAUUACAUUUAACAAUGAUUCUAGAAAGUAUUGCUAAUUUUUCUAAUAUUUAAAAAAUAAAAAUUUUCAAGUAUUAAAAAAAUUAAAAACAUUUUCUAAAAUUAUUAGCAAAUGCACUCUUAUUUUUAUUUAAGUGUUUGUAUGAUUUAUAAUUAAAAAUAAAAUAAUAAUUUAUAAAUAUUCUUUCAACUAAAUAAAAUCUAAUAUAUGGGUUUUUUUAAUAAAUAAAUGCUUAUAAAAUAAUUCUUGAUGUUUUUCCUAUAAAAUAUAUAUGUAGUUUAUAUUUAUUACAUUAUCUAAUAAUAGAAAAUAUUGUAUUUUUAAUCAAAUAAAUAAAUAAUUUCAAAAAAUACAUCGAUUAUAAUUAUUUUGAAAAUAUAUAAGAUAAAUAAUGAUUUUGUUUAUGUUUAAGUAAAGAGAUAUUGAUGUUGAAAAAAUAAAUAAUUUAUUAGAUUGUAAAAAUAUUGUUUUUAAGGUUAAAUUGAUAUAAAUGUUAACUAUUCAUAGGCUCAAAGGGUAUAUUAGUUAUUACUAGGUUGGAAUUAGUAAAAAACAUGGUAGGACACUUGUGGGAGAUCAUCUGUAGUUGGACAUAAUUUUUAAUUUCAAAAUAUUAAUUAAGGGAUAUUUAGUUGCUUAAAUAGGAUAUGAUAUAUAUAUUUUAGGAUAUCUUACCAUUUUUAAUGAAAUAUAAUAUUUUUAGAAAAUAUAUCCAAUAAAAAAGAUAUUAUACCUAAGAAGUAAUUUUUUUUUAAGGAAUGAAAAUAUGAUGUUAAAUAUAUAAAGAAAUUGUAUAUAUUAAAUAAUACAUAUAUUUUAUACCAUUUUUAUAUGAAUUUAAUUUUGGUUUAAUCAAUUUUUUUUUUUUUUUGGCAAAAACUUAAAAUAUUUCAUCUUUAUAUCUUUAGUACUAUCAUAUUAAAAAUAUAAAUGUAUUAAUAUUUUUUAUUUUAUUAAAUAAAAAUUUAUAAAAUUUAAUUAUUAAGAAGGUAAAUCAUAUAUCAAUUAGUGAAACAAAAUUUUAUUAUUUAUUUUAUUCACAUUUCAUUAACUUUAUAUAUAUAUAUAUUUUACAUUUCAUUAAUAUUUUAAUUUUAUGAUUUUGUGACUUGGUUUUGUAAAAUUCUAAUAGUAAAUAGUCAUUCUAUAUUUAUUGUAACCAUUAUCGAAUGCAAGAUGACUAAUAUUGAAUUCCAACUUCAACCUCAAAUUUGUUGAACAUCUAGACCCGCCUUCGAAGUUCAACAACAAUUAAGAUGGCAUUUCCAAAGCAUUCCUUUGGAAAUGCUCUGUUUUGUACGAAUAUAUAAGGUGUAAGAUGAGUUCCAAUUGUUUUUUCUCUAAUUGUUUUGUAUGAUAUGAUCUAUUUGGUAAACAACAAUUUUCCUUUGGAUACUAUUUUUUUUGUUAGAAAAUAUUUCAAGAAUAUUUUCAAAGUGUUAGUAAUUAUGACUCAAACUAUUUAUUUUUAUUUUUAUGAAAAUCAAUAUUUUUAUAGUUUAUAUUUGGGUAAAUUAUUGUUUUUGAGUUUGACUAGGAUUCAGAAAUUCAUUCUUUAGGGUUAGCCCGUGGGAUUUUGUAAAUAUAUAGCUUUAGAUAAAAUUUAAAGUGAGAGUUCAAAAAGGCAACUAUAAAAAAUGUCAAAGUCAUAAGAAGAGCCUAAAAAUAGGCAAUAGAUGUAUUGCAUGUGUUAAAUCAAAGCUUGAUUAAUCUCAAUUUUAAUGAUAAAAAAAAUAAUAAUAAGAUUUGAAUCUAAUGAUUAUAUUUAAGUGUGAAACACAAAAAGGUCUCUUAGGAAUCAUGAAGAAGAAUAUGCAUGAAGCAAACAAAGAAUUCAAGAAGAAUAAAAGAAAGUUUAUCAAGUUUAUCAUUAGAAUAUUUUAUGUAAGAUAAUGAGUGUAGAAAGUUAGGAUUAUAUAUUUUUGAAAGCAUCAAAACAUUCAUCCAUAAUUUUUUAAUUAGUUUUGCACUUUUAUAAUUUGGAUGAAAAUAUUUUUAAAGAUGAAAAGGCCUACUUGGACCUACCUAGCUUAGGAGACUACCUUGAAUAUCAAGUUUUUCAUAAAAAGUCUUUGAAGUUUUCUUAAAAGUAAUUCUCAACUUAACCAAGAUGCACUUAAACUUUGAAAACAUAUUCUUAAGUUUUAAAAGAAUUUGUUGGAGAAUGAUUGUAGCCCAAAACUCACUCAAACUUGCAUUUAUUUCAAGUUAGAGCACAUGUGGAUAUCAAUGUAGACGACCGCUUGCCCUAUGAUGUGGGUUUUUGGCUAGUGGAAGGGAUGUGGAUGAUCACUUGCAUUGUGUUAUGAUUAUUGGCUAUUGGAAGGGAUGUGGAGGUUCACCUUGACGAUCACUUAGUAAUGUGGAUAACCACCUAGGUUAGUUUUUAAGAAUGAUACCCAGAGUACUACAAAAGUCAUAUUAACUCAUUCUCUAGUUUUUCUUAGACAAAGUUGUUACAUAAAAAGACUUAGUAUUUUGGACGACGAAGAAUUGCGAUCAAUGGAUCCAACUAAUAUGAAAGAAAAAUGUGUUUAGUGGGGAGACAAUGUAAAAGAAAAGGUAGAUCAUUAGCAUUGGUAACUUUGGUAAAAGUAUAUCUUCAUUAAGGUAAAUAUUCUCUUAAUUGUGAGUCUAAUUCAUAAAGUUCUUAAAGCAAUUUUUGAAUCAUCAUGUAGCUGCAUCAUAAAAAAAUUUCAAAUUUUUAUGGAUCAUUUAAGCGAAUUAUUGAUUGUUAUAAAAAAAUCAAUGGUUAAGACAAAUGCUUUAUAAAAAAGGAAAGUUUUCAAAAAAAUUUGAAGAAGCAUAUCUUGGUUUCAAAUGACUUAAACAAUAUCUAGAGAUAUUUGUUAUAUUUUACCAAUUUACCUUUUUUAUUUAACUUUUUUUUAGGUGUUGUGAUAUUCCCAACAAGUGGUAUCAAAGCCAUCAUGUGAAGAUUGUGAGAAAUAUUUUUGAAGAUUUUUUGCACAAAAUUUGAUAUUAAGCACUUCAAUGGAAAAGAAUAAUUUCAAUACAUAACAAAUUAUUGUUAAAGAUAUUUUGGUGCAAUUAGGAGUGUAACCAAAACCGAAAAAAUUGACAAAUUAAUUCACACCAACCAAAAAUCCAAUCAUAUUGGUUUGGUUUUCAAUAAUAAAAAAAUGUCAAUUUGAUUUGAGAAUUUUGAAAACUGACUUUGUCAGUUCAUUUUUCAAUUUUCUUAUCUCGCAACCAAUAAAAAUUAAAUAAAACCGAUAUUCUAAAACAAAGUUUCUUUUAUAUUAAAUCUAUUAAAGUAAUUCAUUGUUUUUAUAUUGUAGUCAAAAUAAUUUUAAAUGCAUUCAAUAUAUUUUUAACAUCAAAUCCAAGUUGGUUUCAAUUAAUUUUAAAAACAAAUUAGACUUAGAGUUUAAUAUAAAUUCAAAUUAAUGGGUUUUAGAUUCAAAAUAAACACAAAUUUAUAACUGAGUUGAGGACUAAAAAAGGCCAUUAAGUUGGGUUGAAACUGAUCUAUGAAAACCAAACCAAACAAUCUCAAAGGCUUGGUUUGGUUCAGUUUUUCACUAAAAAUCUAGUUGAUUUGAUUUUUAUCGCAUAUAAAACAGAUGAUAUUGGUUUGAUUCUUUUUUUACCCAAAAACCGAUUGAACCAACCUUAUUUACCUUGCUAGGUGCAAUAAAGACUUUUCAAAUUAUAAGGCAAGAAACUAAGGAAUAUAAGAUUAAGAAGAAUUAGGAACAAAAAUAGUAAACACUAUUUAUUUAAGUUUCUCUCCCUAAUUAAAAUAUAAUAUUUUGAUUAAAAAAUCUUCUUCUCAUUUGUAGGAAAAGUUAACAAAAAUUUAUAUGCCAAAAUCCUUAACAAAUAAAUUAUAUCUAGAGAAAAAACUUAUAUAAACUAAGGAUGAAUGAAGGAAUUGAUGUUGGGGAUUACACAAAUAAAUUUGAUAAGUACACAGUUCAAUUAUUAAGUAUUGAGGUCAAGAUUGAUGGGGAAGUUCAAGAUGUUAUUUUAUUGGCAACUCUAUUGAAAUCAUAUGAGACAUUGAUGAUUAUAAUUUUAAUUGGAAAGAUGAUUUCAACUAUGAAUGAGGUGUCAACUACUCUUUCAGAGCCAAAAUAUUUAGAAGAGUAGUAGUUCAUCUCAUACCCUAUACAAGUUCUUUUAGUGAAGUCUAAAUCAUAUUAUAUUAAGAGUAAAUUGUGAUGGAGAUAUUACUAUGGGAGAGAUGAUUAUUCCUGAUCACACUCUUUGAAGGAUGUGAAGUAUUACCACUAUUACAAAAAGGGACAUGUCAAGAGAUACUAACAAUGCACUGAGAUGAAAAAAAAAACUUGAAUCCCAAGAGACUUCGUAUUCUCCUAAUGUUGUUGAUGAAAAGAUGUCAUGAAAUGCAAACAAAGUACCCAAAAACAAAGACAAAACUUGAAACCUAUGAGAUUCCAAGUUUUGCUAAUGUUGUGAAUCAAAAUUUUGAUAAUGAUGAUAAUAUUUUUUUUUUUAUUAUAACUGAUCCAAAAUUUUGUCACUUUUAGAUUUUAGAUUCCGAAUAUUCAUUUCAUAUAUGCCCAUAUAAGGAGUGUUUUAACACACAUAAGGAAUCUGACAUCAAUAUUUAUUUUAAUACCUAAUGAUUCUAAUUUUAAAGCCCUUAAAAUUGGUAUCAUGAGGAUGAAGAUAUUGGAUAGUAUGGUAAGCAUAUUAACUAAUGAUAAGUAUAUUCCUAAAUUGAGGAGAAGUUUAAUUUCUUUAAAGGCUUUGGAUACUCUAAUUUAUGAUUUAUUUUCCUUUUAUUUUAUUUUAUUUUAUUUUGCAAAUGAUAGUAUUAUGUAGGGUUGCAAUUGGGGGUGGGUUGAUGACUAACCCAAUCCCAACCCAAAUUAAAAAAUAAUUAACCCGAGCUCAACCCAACCCGAACUCUAACCUAAGGUACUUAACCCAAGCCCAAUUCUACCUCAUUUUUCUAAGUUCAGGUUGAGUUCGGGUCGUUCAAGUUUAAGGAUGGCAACAAGGCGGGUUUGAGACGAUCUCUUCCAUCUCAACCCCGUCCCAUUUAUUCAAAAUAAUUCACAUCCUUAUCCCAUUUAAAAAAUUAAACGGGAUGGAGGGAGGCGGGUAUGGGAAUUUAACUUUUUUUUUUUAAUUUUUUUUUAAAUUACUUUUGAAAAUUUUAAUUAUAUUUAAAUAAAUAUAUUUUAUAAAUAAUUAAAUGAUUACAUUUAUUAAAAAUAGUAAAAUAAAAAUUAAAUUAAAUUAAUUAAAAAAAUUAAUUAUAUAUAUAAUUGGGGUAGGAUGAAGCAAUACCUAAACCCAUUUAGUUAUUUUCAAAUGAGUCUCAAACCCGUUUAAUUAAAAUUCAAACUCAUCCAUUAAGGACGGAGCGAGUACCCGAAAAAAUAUGUCUCAUUGUCAUCCAUAUUCAAGUUAAACUUGAGUUAAUCGGAUUGGUUAUGUUAGACUAAAUUGAUUGGGUUACAUAAUUCAAAAUCCAUCUAUAAUAUUAAAAGAAAAAACAAACUUUUUUAAUGCAUUUAUAUGAAAAUUUAAAUAGUAAAUGAGACAAAACUUCAAAAUAACAACAAAAGAAUAAAUAUAAAAUUUGUAUAUUUUCCAAAAAAAAAUGAAAACUAUAUGAUAUAAUAUAAUUUGAUAUUUUUUCUUAAGAAUAAAAAAGAAAAUGAAUAUUAUUAUAUAAGAUAAUAUAUAUUAUAUAUAUUAUAAAAAUAUUAAAAUUGAGUUCGAGUUAGGCUUGGGUUGUUCAAACCUUAGCCCAAGUCCAACUCAAAUUGAGCUUAGAUUGCAAAAAUCUAACCCAAGCCCAACCUGGAUAUUUAAAAUUAUUGCCCAAAACCACCUAAACGUUAAGUUAGGUUUGGAUUGGUUAGGUUAACCCACGCCCAGUUGCACCCCUAGUAUUAUAAAUAUUAAUAAAGAUGCUUUAGUAAUUAUAAAGGGCAAAAAAAGUGAAAAAUUUACAAAAAUUUGAUUUGUACCUAGAAAACCAAAUUCCAUUCCUAUUUGUGGACCCCGCAUUUCGGACUCAUGCGUUUCCCACUCGAUGGCGAGCUCGAUUUUUAUUUUGAAAAAUGAUUUUAUUUAUUAAAAGAAUGAUUUGGAGUCGCCACUUAUUUUUGUUUUAUUUUUUAAAGGGUAAACAAAAUAAGAAAGAAAAACCCUAAGUGUGACUCCUUAUUUUGGAAAAGAUUGGUCUACGAAAAAUUGGAUCAGGUUCGGGGAUUAGGUUACUUAUCGGGAAGGUACGGUGGAGACCGUAGCACCCCUCUAAGUCCCUAGAAACGGGUCUCUACAAAUAAAAUGAAGCUGACAUGAUAAUUGAUGAGAAAAUCAAUGAAUACUCGAUUCAAUCAUGCACAUAUGAGUAUCAGAAUAUGUAUAGAAAAUAACCAGAAUAUGAGCGAAUGCGUACCUGGGUAGCAAACAGCAACGCGCUAUCAUAGAACAGGGUUAGUGAAUUAACACAGAAUAAUUAUAUGCGUAUCAAGAAACAAAGUAAAAUCAAUCACGUAUGGCAAAUACGUCAAUCAAUUAGUCGAUCAAUCAUGAAGUCACGUAUGUGGGGCCCCCACCAAAGCCCAUUUUAUUUUUGCAUGAAUUAAUUCCGUAAAUUCCAUCACUUGGAAUUACAGAAUUUAAAUUCAUGUUUAUUUUAAAUCAUUUUAAAAUCAUGAAAAAUUCGGAAGUUGCUCGCCGAAAAGAAAAUGGCGACCAAAUUUAUUGAAAAUGGGACCUUGGGAACCUCAAGAAAAUGCUCUAAGGAUAAAGAAAAAGGUGGAACGUCGAUUGGAUAGAAUUCUGGAUGUGAGACAUCCGGAGAAGGUGGAACGUCGGUUGGAUAGAGUUCCGGAUGUGAGACAUCCAGGUGGAAUGGCGGCGGAGAAGAAUUUCGGAUGUGAGAUAUCCGGGUGGAAUGGCAGCGGAGAAGAAUUCUGGAUGCGAGAUAUCCAGGUGGAAUGGCGGCGGAGAAGAAUUCCGGAUGUGAGACAUCCGGGUGGAAUGUCGGCGGGGAAGAAUUCCGGAUGUGAGACAUCUAGGUGGAAUGGGAAACGUCGGCUGGAUAGAAUUAUUCUCCGGGUGGAAUGAGCUAUGCCGCGCGUCGCAAGGGAGACCUUUUGCGUGUCCAAGGGAGAGGGAGCCACGCGGUGAUUUUUAGGGAGGAUCCCACAUAUACAUGGGUGAAAGUUUAGAGAGAGAAACGGGUUUGGUGAGUUGUAUGGAUAUGGAGGCUUAGGUGAGUGGUUUUAAUGGGUAUGCGAAGGAGUGAAGGAUAGCAUGCAACCGUGAGACUCCAUGUAAGUGGGGGAGUGGGAUGGAGAAUGAAUGAGGGGAAAAUGGGUGCGGUGGAGGAUGUCUGAUUCCUAUAAGCUUGAGUGAGGAAAUGGGUAUGACGACCUAGAGAGAGAGGUGUAUAGAUGAACGAUGGGUAUGGUGGAUAAAGGAAAAAAACAUGGGGAUGAGAUGAUGACACGCUUGCAUGAGAAUAGAGAUAUCAGGAUAGCAACAAGAGGAAGAACAUGAAGACUUUAACCAGCAUAUCGGACCCAUUUCACCGUUUCAUCCAUGGGUCCAACAUCCAGUGAGUUACGAUGAAAAAUACUCGUCAGAAUAGGGCAUAAAACACAGCAAACUCCUCCAAUAUUUAAUCAAUAAUCACCCAAAACAGAACAACCCAACAAGUGGACAUGAAAAAUCACUGACAAUCAGACCUGGAUAGUAUGAAAAAAAAUGGAAAAUAUACAAAAAAAAAAAAAAAAAACAAAUGGUCAUACUUGGAAAUCUCCCUUUUUAGCUCCGUGUCCUGGACUCUUCCCAGCAACUCUACGCUCCUCUGUUCUUAGCUUCCUACUGCAGUUCAACCCCU
This 38991-nucleotide long non-coding RNA is filed under the name Vitis vinifera (wine grape). RNAcentral's name for it is "long non-coding RNA (VVIN_LNC004293)". Lineage: Eukaryota; Viridiplantae; Streptophyta; Magnoliopsida; Vitales; Vitaceae. The record is from RNAcentral.